UCUCUGGUGGUCCAGCAGUUAAGACUCCAUGAUCCCAAUGCAAGAGGUCCAGGUUCAAUCCCUGGUCAGAGAA
Molecule: transfer RNA, 73 nt
Filed under: Bos taurus (domestic cattle)
Lineage: Eukaryota; Metazoa; Chordata; Mammalia; Artiodactyla; Bovidae
Also listed under: 3 other names
Rfam family: tRNA
About the family: Transfer RNA (tRNA) molecules are approximately 80 nucleotides in length. Their secondary structure includes four short double-helical elements and three loops (D, anti-codon, and T loops). Further hydrogen bonds mediate the characteristic L-shaped molecular structure. tRNAs have two regions of fundamental functional importance: the anti-codon, which is responsible for specific mRNA codon recognition, and the 3' end, to which the tRNAs corresponding amino acid is attached (by aminoacyl-tRNA synthetases). tRNAs cope with the degeneracy of the genetic code in two manners: having more than one tRNA (with a specific anti-codon) for a particular amino acid; and 'wobble' base-pairing, i.e. permitting non-standard base-pairing at the 3rd anti-codon position.
Source: Rfam by way of RNAcentral